This 24-nucleotide non-coding RNA is filed under the name Arabidopsis thaliana (thale cress). Lineage: Eukaryota; Viridiplantae; Streptophyta; Magnoliopsida; Brassicales; Brassicaceae. The record is from RNAcentral.
UUUGAGGGUGACUAUAUAUAGGCA